GCCUAGUGGUGCAAUUAGUCUUUUUUUUUUUUUUUGAGGGUUUUAAUAAAGUUCAUGAUUUCAAUUCAUAGUUUAUUUGAAGCCAUGCCAACGCGUGUUGGAACUGGUACAAUGUGGCUAUGUCAGCUUUGCAUUUUUUUUUGCAAACAAAGUGAUGGGUUUUGGUUUAAGGAAAGCCACGAUUAGCGAAAAUUGGGACGGGGAAGUUUCGAGACGCUUCUAGAAGGUUUCGGAGUGCGAGGAGAGAGGAGGUCAUGUCAUGCGUGCUCCAAAACAACCAGAGAAAAAUAUCGUUUUAUUUUGAUUGUUUUGGCUGGACGGUUGAAGAUACGUUUCUGUGUUGUACUCGUUCGUGUCCAACGAGAUAAAAAUUGUGUCAGGAAACAGAGUUUUUAGCUCGUCACGUCGAGCUGCCCCGCCGCGACACCGAUAGCGCUUCGUCGUGCUCCCGGCAACGCGCGAAGUUCCUCGGGCCUCGUUGGACGUUUCAUCUGCGGCUGAAACACGAGUGGACGACGAUCCCGACCUUCUCCUGGUGGCGGCUGCGUGGACAGACGAGGGCCUGAAGAAAGGGGAUUGAACGCAAAUCCGACUGCACAGCCCCAGGUGUUUCAAGACACAAGCGCUGCCUCCUGUGCUACUGUGUUACCCACUGGUGGCAAAGUAUUGCACAUUCAUGGAAACAAGAGUAGCCCAGACAGGCUACCGUGGCCUGAAGGAUUUCCAAUUGUGCUCGAAGAUGCAACGGAGGCCUACGUGAGAGAUGGCACUCGGGCUAUUCAUGCUUGAGAAGCAUCCACGUCUAAAAGAAUGGCAAAAACCUUUGCGCUCAGAAGACACGAAGUAGUCAACGUGUCCCCCGGAGUUGUGGAUUUUAAAGAUGGAUGGCCUGUACCAUUUAACCCUCAGAGCACCUGUGUAAUAUGUGAUUUGAUGUAUUGCUGAAAACAUAUGGAAAAUGUCAUAUCUUGCUGCAGAGAAGUUGUAGAUUAAAAAGACAGAUUUCACAUCAUCAUUAUUUAUUACUUUGUCACCCAUUAGGGGAUUCAUGAAAUCAUUCCUUAGGAAUGAAUCACAUGACAUAUGCCCAACAUCUGCAUACCUUUUCUCACUAUAUUACAAUAGUGGAUGUUAACGUGUGCCAGCAAUCCCUAGGAUUGUGUUGAAGGAUAUAUCCAAUUUAAUGAAUGGUACAUUUUAGAACUCUGGACCGGACAAGGGAAGUUUUUGCUUGGGUGAAAAGGAUGAUCUCGUUCAGGAAUACCAUGUGUCAAUUCUUGGUAUCCCAUAAGAUGAACACACACACUUUCAUGAGGUAGGAAUUUUCACCACAAAUGAUUAUAUAUAGAUUCUCUGCAAGGUGGUGUUGUCCUCCUCAGUCUCUUGAACAC
RNAcentral lists this long non-coding RNA (1391 nucleotides) under Scleropages formosus (Asian bonytongue). RNAcentral's name for it is "lncRNA (ENSSFOG00015024236.1)". Lineage: Eukaryota; Metazoa; Chordata; Actinopteri; Osteoglossiformes; Osteoglossidae. The record is from RNAcentral.